AUGGGUCUCGUCUCAGGUGCUCUGAAAUGGUGGGAGGAGUGGCAGCUGCGUAUCCUGGUGCUCAGCAGCCUAUGUGUCCACUUCUUCCUCUACUUCUCCAUGUGGGUGCGUCGAGUCCCCGGCCUACGUAGGCUGAGAGUGAUGGUGUGGAUGGCGUACAUAGGAGGCCACGCCCUGGCAAUCUACGCCCUUGCCACCCUCUUCAACCGCCAUAAGCAGUGGACGACGGAUGCGGUGGGUGAGAGCAGCAGCGACCUGGAGGUGAUAUGGGCGCCUCUUCUCCUCAUCCACCUGGGUGGCCACGUGACAUUGAGCGCCUACUGCCUCGAGGACAAUGAGUUGUGGCUACGACAUGUCAUAACUCUGGUAUCUCUGGUCACCGUCGCCUUGUACGUCUUCUGCAAGUGGUGGUCCGGCGAGUUGAGGCUGCUGCUGGCGGCAGUUAUGCUCUUCGUCUUCGGCAUCCUCAAAUUUGGUCUCAAGCCAUGGACUCUCAGGAGAGCUAGCUAUAGUCAGAUGCUCGCUUCCACCGAUGUGUCCCUACCAAGAGAGGGGGAAAAAAGAAGUCGUGAUGGAGCAACAGGGGACAGCCCCCUUUCCCUUGAUGAAUAUGUGACACAAGCAAAGGCGACAAUGUGCACAGCGAGCUGCGAGCAACAAGCUGCUACCCCGCCUACGGCAAUAGCAGUCAGACACAUUGAUUACUUUGUGGACCUGUCCGCUCCGUACGGUGGUCGGCUAAGUGACUUGUGGUAUCUCCAGAACAACAACAAGAAGACGACGAAUGCAUCAUACAAGAUGUUGCAAAUGUGCUUUGAUCAAAUAUUUGAUCUCUUGUACACCAAAAUGGGAUAUGUUGAUGGAGAAACCAAUGUGGGAUUCACUUCUUUUGAGAUUCUGUUUACGCUUUUGCUUCCAUUAGUGGCCUUAGCUUCCCUGAUGCUCUUCGCCACAAGCAACAAGCAUGGUUACAAGAGCAGGGACGUCAAGGUGACAUACAUCCUUUUCUCUUGCACUACUUUGCUGGAGUUCUUACAGUUAUGGUGUGGUAUUGUCACUGCGUGCAUUCCUUGCCUGAAAUUCAUCAACGAGUAUCUCGAGGGAUGGCAUGACAUGGUUUCCCAGUACGACCUCAUGUCGUUCUAUGUUCGCAAGAAGAAACCCACCUUCCUGAUGAAGAUCUUUUUCUUCGAAUGUCUAAUGGGGUAUGUUAGCAAGGUUUGGUAUGUAAGGAAGGUGCCUGCAGCCUACGAAAUUACGGAGCUAGUUCAACGGCACAUAGAAGAAGAUGGAUGGAAGACGUUCAUAACUGGAGAGGUUCAGCGAUUUCAGGGGCCAGCUGACUCUGGAGAGGUUCAGUGA
RNAcentral lists this ribosomal RNA (1362 nucleotides) under Triticum aestivum (bread wheat). RNAcentral's name for it is "partial small subunit ribosomal RNA". Lineage: Eukaryota; Viridiplantae; Streptophyta; Magnoliopsida; Poales; Poaceae. The record is from RNAcentral.